CAGAUGCAAAGAAAGGCCAGCAGGAGAAGCAGGGGACCUGAAGCAUCAGCCACAAGUCCAGGUUGGAACCAGAUGGCCCAGAGGUCCCUUGGCUUCAGACGCACUUGCAAUAUUGCCUCCAAAACAAUCCCGAGGUCUCCGGGUACCACAGUGCUGAGCCCCCCACCUCCAGGGCAUUCCCUCAGGCCAAGCAGUUCUCGAGGGCCCCAUCCGGUUCUCAAAUGGGACAUCUUUCACCAUCCAAGUCACUCACCGUCAUCUUCCCAAGUCGGACCCCAAAACCGUGCUCAGUUCUCACCCAGGGUCUGACCUUGGUUAAGACACUCCACAGGGCCAGCCUCUGGUUUCCUCCUAUGGAAUGCUGGUGCAGGGGAUGGUGCAUGAAAGCAUCUUGCAACAAGUGUUUUCCUUUGCUCGGCUCCUGCCUGAU
This 430-nucleotide long non-coding RNA is filed under the name Homo sapiens (human). RNAcentral describes it as "HSALNT0196500". Lineage: Eukaryota; Metazoa; Chordata; Mammalia; Primates; Hominidae. The record is from RNAcentral.